ACACGGAGGGCCCGGGCGGGGAAGGGUGGGGGGCUUGCAGGGGUGCCUGGGUCGGGGGCUGCAGGUGGGAGUGAGCAAAUGUGCUGUCUCGCCACCUCGGGACAGGUGGUAGGGCCUCUGACACAGAGUGGUCCUUCCUGCUGUUCACAGCUCAGCUCACCGUGGGCUGACCAUAGAUUCUCGUUGAAAUCCUAACGCCCCAGGCAAUGAUGUUAGGAGGCGGGGCUUCUGGGAGAUGGCAAGUUCGUGAGGCUGCAGCUCUGCUGGGGGAUCAGUGUCCUUCUACAAGCGGCUCCAGGGAGGUCCCUUGCCCCUUCCACCAUGUGAGGACCCGAGAUGGUGCCGUCUAUGAACCGGGAAGUGAGUCCUCUCCGGACGUGGAACAAGUUGGUGCCUUGAUUUUGAACUUGCAGCCUCCAGCUUCAUGGGGUUUAAGUACGAUGAUGCUGCAUUGAGACGUUGUACUGUGUGAAGUCAGGGCCUUCUGUGCAUCGGUCGAGGGUGCAAUGCACACGGCACCCCCGAGCAGCCACCCAUCCUCCCUUCCCUCCACCCUGCGAGGCCCCGUUGUCCGUCUGUCCACACUCUGCUCCAUGAGCACACGUGACUUAGCUUCGCCUUGUGAGCCGCUGCUUGGGGUGAGCAUGCUUCCUGCUGGAUGCUUCUCUAUGUAAGCACCUGCCUGAGUGUCAGCCCUCUUAAGGUGAACCGCUCCGUGUCAUUCGUACAUUCACAAGUUUGUGCCGCCAUCAUCGUGAUCGGAUUCCAAAACAUUUUCAUCACCUCCAAGAAAGCCUUGUACCUGGCAGCAGUCACUGUCUCUAUGGAUUUGCUUAUUCUGGACAUUUCAUAAAAAUAGAAUCAAACAGCAUUUGGC
RNAcentral lists this long non-coding RNA (877 nucleotides) under Homo sapiens (human). RNAcentral's name for it is "HSALNT0402318". Lineage: Eukaryota; Metazoa; Chordata; Mammalia; Primates; Hominidae. The record is from RNAcentral.